CAAGAUCUCUUUAAAUCCUUUCUUUGCAUGAUUUUCUUAGUUAUCUUAUUUUUAUUUUAUUAUUUAAUUAAAUUAUUUUUAAUGAAAGUCAAAUUUAUACUAUAAUUAUAUUUAUCUAAUAUUAGUGGACCAUUAAUGAAUCAUUAGUGUUUAACUAAAAUCAAUUUUUCAUGUUCAAAUCUAAUUCCAGUAGUUGGUUUUUUCUAAAUUUGGCCAUAUUUAUGGUAGCUAAAAAAAGCUAAAAAUUAAUUUGAAACUAACAUAUAAUAUAAAAUCAAUCAAUCAAUCAAUUAAUUAAUAAAAAAAUUAAAAUUAUAGUAACAUAAAAUAAUAUGAUAAUUAAGUUUAAAUAUAUUUAUAUGUAUUUAUUAAGUAAUAUUUUCUUAAAUUUGGUUUGACAUGCAAUUAUUUAGUAAAGAUUUUGUAACAACAUGUUGCAAUUGAAUUUUUUUUUAAAAAAACAUUUGAAUCACUUCUAUAUAUUAAAUUAAUAAGCAUUCUUUUGAAAUAUUGAGAAAUACUUUUAAACCCUUUAGAAUCUAUUUGGAAUUUUUAAAUGUUUAUUAUAAAAUCAUACUUCUUCUUAUGCCAUGCUGAGCUACUGUUCAAUCUUGCUAUCUUGUACUACCAAGCUUGAUUUUCGUAUUCUUCUUUACUUUCAUGAGAACUUUUUUUCUUCUUCUUCUUUUUAAUAUUUAAUAUAAUAUUUUUUAAUAUUUUCUAUAUUUAAUCUAUACUUAAUCUUUAUAUUAUUUACAUCUUUUUAUAUAUAAAAUCUUAAAAUAAAAUUAUAAAUUAUGAUAUUUUUUUAAUUGAAUAUUUUUCUUAGAUUCUUUUUAUAACUUAAAUUAGUUAGAAUAUAAAAAUCUAAAUAAGUUAAGAUCAAGUCUUUCUUUGAAAUUCUCUACAUUUUAUACUUUUUCAAUACCAUUUGCCACUCACAACUUAUUCUUUGGUAUUUCUUUAAUUUUAACCCAAUUUAUUUUUUCUAUUUUUUUUAUUCUAAUUUGCUUCAUUUUUCUUCUAUUCCACUACUAUUUUUUUCUAAAAUUUAACUUACUUUAAUGUAGAUUUGGCACUUACUUAUUAUCUUUAUUCUUAUUUUUAUUUAUAUAUUUUGGCUCAAUUUUUAAAUUUAAUUUGUCUUUUAACUUAUCUUAUUAUUCUACUGCACUUUUUCUUUUUUAUAACCUUAAUUUUUAUUUUUUUAGCUUAUUUCUACUUAUAUAGCGUAAUCUUAUUAUUAUUAUUAUUAUUAUUAUUAUUAAUCUUUUUUGGCUUCAUGUUGUCGAAUCUUUUUAAUAGCCUUGUUUUUUUGCCUUUUAAUUGAAUCUAAAUAGUCCUUUAUCUUUGCAACCUCCAAUUUAUAGAUUUAGCUUCAUAAUAUUUUUUAAACUAAUUUAUUUUUAUUUUUAUUUUUUAUCAAGAAAAAAUGUAAGUAACUUUCAAAAUUCUUAAACAAAAGAUUACCUUCUUUAUAAUACUUAUAACAUUGCAAGUAGAUUCUCUAAUUAUCUUCUAUUUGAAUGUUUAUCUACUUAAUUUUGUUUCUUAUUAGUUUUGUCUUAAUGCUACUCAGUAAAGUUUUUCAUCUUUUUUCCUUGGUUGCUAUUAAUUGCACACCAUUCUUUUUGUUCAAUUGUUACUUUCUAUAUAACUACAUAUUAGUUGUCUUUUAUACUCCCACUUGACUUAUAUUUAUAUAGUCACAUUCUAUAUUAUUAAAUCAAUAAUUUUUUUAAAAUUUAAAAAUAAUAAAAUAAUAAAAAAUCAUAGUUAAAAUAAUUAGAAAUAAUUAAAAAGCUAAAUUUAGUUUUUGAUAUCUUCUUUGUUUUUUAUCUUUAUUUAUUUUUAUUUUUAAAAUUAAAAUUAAUAAUUUAAAUAAUAAGCUAUAAAAUUUAAUUUUUUACACAAAUUAGGCAUGGUACAUAACUUCUAAAUAUAAUAUUUUUGAAUAGCUCUUUUUUAAAAUAAAUAAUUAAAAUAAAUAAUAUAAUAAAAAAAUUAAAAUUUAUAUCACCUUGAAACAAUAAUUAAUCCAUAAUAUCAUAUUAGAUGGUUAGCAAAAAUAAAUUUAAUCAUGAGCACUAUAAAAUACUAUAAAAUAAUAGAAAAUAUAUUUCAAAUUUAAUUUUUAGAAAACCAUUGAUUUCUUUGGACUAAAAAAUUCUAUACAAAACAAUAAUGUUAGAAUGAUGCAAAAAAUUAUUUUCAAUCUAAAAUUCUACAUUAAUAAGUCUUUGCUAAGUACUACUUAGUAUAGAUAGUUAAAAUGAUUUUUACUCAAUACGUUUAUAAACCAAGAAAACAAUUUUUUAAAGCAUCUACAACAAAGUCAAACAAUUUGUCAAAUUGAUUACCAAUCCAAAUAAUUCUUAUGCGUCAAAUCCAACAUGACUAAUAAAUUUCCAAAUUAUUUCAACUACUUAUAAUACUUAUGCACUCUUAGACCUACAAUUAGUUUCAAGUCAAAUUGAUAAAACACACAAAUGAAACUCACAAAUCAAUUCAAACUAUGUCGUUGGCAAACUUUAUCACCACUUAAGGACUUGAAAAGUCAUCGUUGGCAAACUUUAUCACCACUUAAGGACGUGAAAAGUCAUCGUGUCUCCAAAUAGAAGAAUAGAGGAUUUCACCAGAAAUUUGUGCUGUGUUCGUAUCUUCUGCUGAUUAAGCACCACUGCAAAUGUGUGCCUUAACUUGCUUCAAGGCACCUCCUGUUUUAUUUUACUCCGACCGGAUUAGUGCAGAGUCCGAUUAAUAUCAUUAUAAAAGAGAAGAUCGAGUGGAACAGCAACAUAUUCCAACAGUGCAACUCGAUGCAUCUAAACGCUGGAUGAUAAACUUUAUAAAGAUAUUUCAGAGGCUUAUCUUAUAAGCUUUCCUUGGAAACCACAGAGCUGUUCAUGCUUUUCUGCACACACCGGAAAACAAGCUAGUCAUUGAAGCAGAUGGGUACUCGCCAAAGGGCCGCUUUUAUC
RNAcentral lists this long non-coding RNA (2981 nucleotides) under Physcomitrium patens. RNAcentral describes it as "long non-coding RNA (PPAT_LNC002929)". The record is from RNAcentral. Lineage: Eukaryota; Viridiplantae; Streptophyta; Bryopsida; Funariales; Funariaceae.